Pelobates cultripes (western spadefoot toad) is the source of this 223-nucleotide non-coding RNA. The record is from the annotation of a GenBank genome assembly. Lineage: Eukaryota; Metazoa; Chordata; Amphibia; Anura; Pelobatidae.
CCAGGUGGCAACUCCAAUAUCAGCACAAUUAUCGGCAAUAACCACCUAGAUACUAGGAACAAUAUACUAUUGCAAUGGUCACACCCGAUGGCUAAACAUGUACAAGUUCAUACCAGAUGUACAAUACGCAGUGCCCCUGCGCAGGCACCAAAAUGACUAAACGUGAUAUAUAUGCUAUGAUUACACAUGUGAAAUAAAAACAUAUUUAAAACAAAAGUUUUCA